AGUGAACGCUGGCGGUAGGCCUAACACAUGCAGGUCGAACGGCAGCACAGUAAGAGCUUGCUCUUACGGGUGGCGAGUGGCGGACGGGUGAGGAAUACAUCGGAAUCUACUUUUUCGUGGGGGAUAACGUAGGGAAACUUACGCUAAUACCGCAUACGACCUACGGGUGAAAGCAGGGGAUCUUCGGACCUUGCGCGAUUGAAUGAGCCGAUGUCGGAUUAGCUAGUUGGCGGGGUAAAGGCCCUCCAAGGCGACGAUCCGUAGCUGGUCUGAGAGGAUGAUCAGCCACACUGGAACUGAGACACGGUCCAGACUCCUACGGGAGGCAGCAGUGGGGAAUAUUGGACAAUGGGCGCAAGCCUGAUCCAGCCAUACCGCGUGGGUGAAGAAGGCCUUCGGGUUGUAAAGCCCUUUUGUUGGGAAAGAAAAGCAGCAGGUUAAUACCCCGCUGUUCUGACGGUACCCAAAGAAUAAGCACCGGCUAACUUCGUG
RNAcentral lists this ribosomal RNA (492 nucleotides) under uncultured bacterium. Its description in RNAcentral is "partial 16S ribosomal RNA". It matches the Rfam family "Bacterial small subunit ribosomal RNA", at positions 29 to 507 of the family's 1533-position model. The record is from RNAcentral.